RNAcentral lists this ribosomal RNA (460 nucleotides) under uncultured bacterium. RNAcentral describes it as "partial 16S ribosomal RNA". It matches the Rfam family "Bacterial small subunit ribosomal RNA", at positions 338 to 795 of the family's 1533-position model. The record is from RNAcentral.
CCUACGGGAGGCAGCAGUGAGGAAUAUUGGUCAAUGGACGAGAGUCUGAACCAGCCAAGUAGCAUGAAGGAUGACUGCCCUAUGGGUUGUAAACUUCUUUUAUAUGGGAAUAAAACGUUCCACGUGUGGGAUUUUGUAUGUACCAUAUGAAUAAGGAUCGGCUAACUCCGUGCCAGCAGCCGCGGUAAUACGGAGGAUCCGAGCGUGAUCCGGAUUUAUUGGGUUUAAAGGGAGCGUAGGUGGAUUGUUAAGUCAGUUGUGAAAGUUUGCGGCUCAACCGUAAAACUGCAGUUGAAACUGGCAGUCUUGAGUACAGUAGAGGUGGGUGGAAUUCGUGGUGUAGCGGUGAAAUGCUUAGAUAUCACGAAGAACUCCGAUUGCGAAGGCAGUUCACUGGACUGCAACUGACACUGAGGCUCGAAAGUGUGGGUAUCAAACAGGAUUAGAUACCCGUGUAGUC